Molecule: ribosomal RNA, 417 nt
Filed under: uncultured prokaryote
Description: bacterial SSU rRNA
Rfam family: Bacterial small subunit ribosomal RNA
Source: RNAcentral
GUGCCAGCCGCCGCGGUAAUACGGAGAGGGCAAGCGUUGUUCGGAUUUAUUGGGCGUAAAGCGCGUGUAGGCGGCGCGGUAAGUCGGAUGUUAAAGACCCACGGCUCACCCGGGGGAAUGCGUUCGAUACUGCCGUGCUGGAGUGCGAGAGAGGAAAGUGGAAUUCCUGGUGUAGCGGUGAAAUGCGUAGAUAUCAGGAGGAACACCUGUGGCGAAGGCGGCUUUCUGGCUCGUAACUGACGCUGGGACGCGAAAGCGUGGGGAGCGAACGGGAUUAGAUACCCCGGUAGUCCACGCCGUAAACGUUGGAUACUAGGUGUGGGAGGUAUUCUACCCCUUCCGUGCCGCAGCUAACGCAUUAAGUAUCCCGCCUGGGGAGUACGGUCGCAAGACUGAAACUUAAAUGAAUUGGCGGGG